GAUGAACGCUGGCGGCGUGCCUAAUACAUGCAAGUCGAACGGUCCCGGCCCUUCGGGGUUUGGGAUAGUGGCGAACGGGUGAGUAACGCGUGGGUGACCUGCCCCGAAGCGGGGGAUAACAGCCUGAAAGGGUUGCUAAUACCCCAUGUGCUGGGUUGGCUUAGCGGCCGGCCCAGGAAAGGCGAAAGCCACUUUGGGAGGGGCCUGCGUCCCAUCAGCUAGUUGGUGUGGUAACGGCGCACCAAGGCGAUGACGGGUAGGGGACCUGAGAGGGUGGCCCCCCCACAAUGGAACUGAAACACGGUCCAUACACCUACGGGUGGCAGCAGUAGGGAAUAUUGCAAAAUGGGCGCAAGCCUGAUGCAGCAACGCCGCGUGGGCGAUGAAGGCCUUCGGGUCGUAAAGCCCUUUUGGGAGGGACGAGGAAGGACGGUACCUCCCGAAUAAGCCUCGGCUAACUACGUG
Molecule: ribosomal RNA, 465 nt
Filed under: uncultured bacterium
Lineage: Bacteria
Description: bacterial SSU rRNA
Rfam family: Bacterial small subunit ribosomal RNA
Source: RNAcentral